UACGCCGACGUGAGCCAGCUGA
Molecule: microRNA, 22 nt
Filed under: Chrysemys picta bellii (western painted turtle)
Lineage: Eukaryota; Metazoa; Chordata; Testudines; Emydidae
Also listed under: 1 other name
Description: Cpi-Mir-9581_3p (mature (guide))
Source: RNAcentral